AGUGAACGCUGGCGGUAGGCCCAACACAUGCAAGUCGAACGGCAGCACAGUAAGAGCUUGCUCUUACGGGUGGCGAGUGGCGGACGGGUGAGGAAUACAUCGGAAUCUACUUUUUCGUGGGGGAUAACGUAGGGAAACUUACGCUAAUACCGCAUACGACCUACGGGUGAAAGCAGGGGAUCUUCGGACCUUGCGCGAUUGAAUGAGCCGAUGUCGGAUUAGCUAGUUGGCGGGGUAAAGGCCCACCAAGGCGACGAUCCGUAGCUGGUCUGAGAGGAUGAUCAGCCACACUGGAACUGAGACACGGUCCAGACUCCUACGGGAGGCAGCAGUGGGGAAUAUUGGACAAAGGGCGCAAGCCUGAUCCAGCCAUACCGCGUGGGUGAAGAAGGCCUUCGGGUUGUAAAGCCCUUUUGUUGGGAAAGAAAAGCAGCAGAUUAAUACCCCGCUGUUCUGACGGUACCCAAAGAAUAAGCACCGGCUAACUUCGUG
RNAcentral lists this ribosomal RNA (492 nucleotides) under uncultured bacterium. Its description in RNAcentral is "partial 16S ribosomal RNA". It matches the Rfam family "Bacterial small subunit ribosomal RNA", at positions 29 to 507 of the family's 1533-position model. The record is from RNAcentral.